Molecule: ribosomal RNA, 1482 nt
Filed under: Candidatus Hepatincola sp. Av
Lineage: Bacteria; Pseudomonadati; Pseudomonadota; Alphaproteobacteria; Rhodospirillales; Candidatus Hepatincolaceae
Description: bacterial SSU rRNA
Rfam family: Bacterial small subunit ribosomal RNA
Source: RNAcentral
UUAAGAGUUUGAUUCUGGCUCAGAACGAACGCUGGCGGCAUGCUUAACACAUGCAAGUUGAACGGAUAGAGAUAUCAGUGGCGAACGGGUGAGUAACACGUGGGAAUUUGGCUUAUAGUUUUGGAUAGCUAUUGGAAACGAUAGGUAAUACAAGAUGAGUUGGAGACAAGAAAGGAUUAGUCUGCUAUAAGAUGAGCCCGCGGAUGAUUAGCUAGUUGGAGUGGUAAGAGCACCCCAAGGCGAAGAUCAAUAGCUGUUCUGAGAGGAAGAUCAGCCACAUUGGGACUGAGACACGGCCCAAACUCCUACGGGAGGCAGCAGUGGGGAAUAUUGGACAAUGGGGGGAACCCUGAUCCAGCAAUGCCGCGUGAAUGAAGAAGGCCUUAGGGUUGUAAAGUUCUUUUACUGAAGAAGAUGAUGACGGUAAUCAGGGAAUAAGUCCCGGCAAACUUCGUGCCAGCAGCCGCGGUAAUACGAAGGGGACUAGCGUUGUUCGGAAUCACUGGGCGUAAAGAGCGAGUAGGUGGUAAUAUAAGUCAGAUGUGAAAUCCUUAAUCUUAAGUUAAGAAUGGCAUUUGAGACUGUAUUACUAGAGGACAGGAGGGGAUAGUGGAAUUCCAAGUGUAGAGGUGAAAUUCGUAGAUAUUUGGAGGAACACCGGAAGCGAAGGCGUCUAUCUGGCCUGAACCUGACACUGAGAAGCGAGAGCAUGGGUAGCAAACAGGAUUAGAUACCCUGGUAGUCCAUGCUGUAAACGAUGAUUGCUAGAUGUUAGUAUAGAGAGUUAUAUUAGUAUCUGAGCUAACGCAUUAAGCAAUCCGCCUGAGUAGUACGGUCGCAAGAUUAAAACUCAAAGAAAUUGACGGGGACCCGCACAAGUGGUGGAGCAUGUGGUUUAAUUCGAUGAUACGCGAAGAACCUUACCAAGGCUUGACAUAUUACCAGAGAUUAUAAGAGAUUAUGAUUGUCAUUAAGUUGGGGUAAUACAGGUGCUGCAUGGCUGUCGUCAGCUCGUGUCGUGAGAUGUUGGGUUAAGUCCCGCAACGAGCGCAACCCUUACGUUUAGUUGCUAACAGGUAGUGCUGAGCACUCUAGAGGAACUGCUGGUGUUAAACCAGAGGAAGGUAGGGAUGACGUCAAGUCCUCAUGGCCCAUAUGUCUUGGGCUACACACGUGCUACAAUGGUAGUGACAGAGAGUUGCGAGUUUGAGAAGAUGAGCUAAUCUAAAAAAGCUACCACAGUUCGGAUUGUACUCUGAAACUCGAGUACAUGAAGUUGGAAUCGCUAGUAAUCGCAAAUCAGCAUGUUGCGGUGAAUACGUUCCGGGUCUUGUACACACCGCCCGUCACACCAUGGGAGCUGAUUUUACCUUAAGGUGGUGAACCAACCGCAAGGAGGAAGCCAACCAAGGUAGGAUUAGUGACUGGGGUGAAGUCGUAACAAGGUAGCCGUAGGGGAACCUGCGGCUGGAUCACCUCCUU